AUAGAGCAUCAGACUACGAAUCUGAGGGUCGGACGUUCGAAUCGUUCCGGGCGCG
Molecule: transfer RNA, 55 nt
Organism: Sphingomonas sp. WG
Lineage: Bacteria; Pseudomonadati; Pseudomonadota; Alphaproteobacteria; Sphingomonadales; Sphingomonadaceae
Rfam family: tRNA
About the family: Transfer RNA (tRNA) molecules are approximately 80 nucleotides in length. Their secondary structure includes four short double-helical elements and three loops (D, anti-codon, and T loops).
Source: Rfam